AGUGAACGCUGGCGGUAGGCCUAACACAUGCAAGUCGAACGGCAGCACAGUAAGAGCUUGCUCUUACGGGUGGCGAGUGGCGGACGGGUGAGGAAUACAUCGGAAUCUACUUUUUCGUGGGGGUUAACGUAGGGAAACUUACGCUAAUACCGCAUACGACCUACGGGUGAAAGCAGGGGAUCUUCGGACCUUGCGCGAUUGAAUGAGCCGAUGUCGGAUUAGCUAGUUGGCGGGGUAAAAGCCCACCAAGGCGACGAUCCGUAGCUGGUCUGAGAGGAUGAUCAGCGACACUGGAACUGAGAGACGGUACAGACUCCGACGGGAGGCAGCAGUGGGGAAUAUUGGAAGAUGGGGGCAAGCCUGAACCAGCCAUGCCGCGUGGGUGAAGAAAGCCUUCGGGUUGUAAAGCCCUUUUGUUGGGAAAGAAAAGCAGCAGGUUAAAACCCCGCUGUUCUGACGGAACCCAAAGAAUAAGCACCGGCUAACAUCGU
This 491-nucleotide ribosomal RNA is filed under the name uncultured bacterium. RNAcentral describes it as "partial 16S ribosomal RNA". It matches the Rfam family "Bacterial small subunit ribosomal RNA", at positions 29 to 506 of the family's 1533-position model. The record is from RNAcentral.